This 223-nucleotide ribosomal RNA is filed under the name Vibrio diabolicus. RNAcentral's name for it is "partial 23S ribosomal RNA". It matches the Rfam family "Bacterial large subunit ribosomal RNA", at positions 2068 to 2290 of the family's 2925-position model. Lineage: Bacteria; Pseudomonadati; Pseudomonadota; Gammaproteobacteria; Vibrionales; Vibrionaceae. The record is from RNAcentral.
ACCCGCGGCUAGACGGAAAGACCCCGUGAACCUUUACUACAGCUUGGCACUGAACAUUGACCCUACAUGUGUAGGAUAGGUGGGAGGCUUUGAAGCGCAGUCGCUAGAUUGUGUGGAGCCGUCCUUGAAAUACCACCCUUGUAGUGUUGAUGUUCUAACGUCGACCCCUUAUCGGGGUUGCGGACAGUGCCUGGUGGGUAGUUUGACUGGGGCGGUCUCCUCC